This 508-nucleotide ribosomal RNA is filed under the name uncultured Glomus. RNAcentral's name for it is "SSU rRNA". It matches the Rfam family "Eukaryotic small subunit ribosomal RNA", at positions 569 to 1081 of the family's 1831-position model. The record is from RNAcentral. Lineage: Eukaryota; Fungi; Glomeromycota; Glomeromycetes; Glomerales; Glomeraceae.
AGCAGCCGCGGUAAUUCCAGCUCCAAUAGCGUAUAUUAAAGUUGUUGCAGUUAAAAAGCUCGUAGUUGAAUUUCGGGAUCAAUUUGCUGGUCGUGCCUCUGGUACGUACUGGUAUUAUUGGUUUCUCCCUUCUGACGAACCAUGAUGUCAUUAAUUUGAUGUCGUGGAGAAUCAGGACUGUUACUUUGAAAAAUUAGAGUGUUUAAAGCAGGCAUUAGCUUGAAUACAUUAGCAUGGAAUAAUGAAAUAGGACGUUUGAUCCUAUUUUGUUGGUUUCUAGGAUUGACGUAAUGAUUAAUAGGGAUAGUUGGGGGCAUUAGUAUUCAAUUGUCAGAGGUGAAAUUCCUGGAUUUAUUGAAGACUAACUACUGCGAAAGCAUUUGCCAAGGAUGUUUUCAUUAAUCAAGAACGAAAGUUAGGGGAUCGAAGACGAUCAGAUACCGUCGUAGUCUUAACCAUAAACUAUGCCGACUAGGGAUCGGAUGAUGUUAAUUUUUAUGACUCAUUC